This 630-nucleotide ribosomal RNA is filed under the name Salmonella enterica subsp. enterica serovar Typhimurium. Its description in RNAcentral is "partial 23S ribosomal RNA". It matches the Rfam family "Bacterial large subunit ribosomal RNA", at positions 566 to 1190 of the family's 2925-position model. Lineage: Bacteria; Pseudomonadati; Pseudomonadota; Gammaproteobacteria; Enterobacterales; Enterobacteriaceae. The record is from RNAcentral.
ACCGCAAAACAAGCAGAGGGGGCUUAGUGGUGGGGUGACUGCGUACCUUUUGUAUAAUGGGUCAGCGACUUAUAUUCUGUAGCAAGGUUAACCGAAUAGGGGAGCCGGAGGGAAACCGAGUCUUAAUUGGGCGUUAAGUUGCAGGGUAUAGACCCGAAACCCGGUGAUCUAGCCAUGGGCAGGUUGAAGGUUGGGUAACACUAACUGGAGGACCGAACCGACUAAUGUUGAAAAAUUAGCGGAUGACCUGUGGCUGGGGGUGAAAGGCCAAUCAAACCGGGAGAUAGCUGGUUCUCCCCGAAAGCUAUUUAGGUAGCGCCUCGUGAAUUCAUCUCCGGGGGUAGAGCACUGUUUCGGCUAGGGGGCCAUCCCGGCUUACCAACCCGAUGCAAACUGCGAAUACCGGAGAAUGUUAUCACGGGAGACACACGGCGGGUGCUAACGUCCGUCGUGAAGAGGGAAACAACCCAGACCGCCAGCUAAGGUCCCAAAGUCAUGGUUAAGUGGGAAACGAUGUGGGAAGGCCCAGACAGCCAGGAUGUUGGCUUAGAAGCAGCCAUCAUUUAAAGAAAGCGUAAUAGCUCACUGGUCGAGUCGGCCUGCGCGGAAGAUGUAACGGGGCUAAACCAU